Molecule: ribosomal RNA, 225 nt
Filed under: uncultured bacterium
Lineage: Bacteria
Description: partial 16S ribosomal RNA
Rfam family: Bacterial small subunit ribosomal RNA
Source: RNAcentral
GAUCACGGCUCAGGAUGAACGCUAGCUACAGGCUUAACACAUGCAAGUCGAGGGGCAGCAUGGUCUUAGCUUGCUAAGACUGAUGGCGACCGGCGCACGGGUGAGUAACACGUAUCCAACCUGCCGUCUACUCUUGGACAGCCUUCUGAAAGGAAGAUUAAUACAAGAUGGCAUCAUGAGUCCGCAUGUUCACAUGAUUAAAGGUAUUCCGGUAGACGAUGGGGA